This is a long non-coding RNA of Acanthopagrus latus (yellowfin seabream), 555 nucleotides long. RefSeq lists it as uncharacterized. Lineage: Eukaryota; Metazoa; Chordata; Actinopteri; Spariformes; Sparidae. The transcript is spliced from 2 exons. The record is from RefSeq and is a predicted model, not a curated record.
AUGAGAAAUCUGCUCGGAGCCACGCUGGCAUUUAAAUGGCAGAUAACAGAACGUCUUAACCCUUCGCUGAUCCGCUCUGCUCCCGGGCCAUAUACGUUUUUAUCACGGAGAGUCCAACCUACAGAACCAGCAGGUUAACAUUUGUACAAGCUGACGUUCAUGGUAGAAGACGGCGGUGAGAGACAAACGAACCGGACCAGAGACCGCUGCUGACGUCUGUGUUUCACUGUCAGUGAGCAUCAAACCACAGGAUGGUUUUAACGGGACGUCGGAACAUUUCCAGGCGACAGAAUCAUAAACAUGCUCCCAUCCUAACCAGCAACCAGCACCAACAUGAGAUAACUGAAGCUACAGAACAUCAGAGCGGCAGCAUGUCUGUGGUUUGCAGAGAUGAACACCAACAUUUGUUCUUGUGUCUUGGUUUUUGUUUUUACAGAAUUUGCCUCCUGGAUCUACAGCAGUCUGUGAUCUUGGAUUCAUUUGUUAUAGUGUUAAGUAAUCUGAUUACUCAGUCUCUGAAUCCUGACAUUAAAUCUGAGGGUAAAUGUAAUAUAA